UCUUGGUCAUUUAGAGGAAGUAAAAGUCGUAACAAGGUUUCCGUAGGUGAACCUGCGGAAGGAUCAUUAUUGUAUAACAGGGGGUGUAAGGGCUGUUGCUGACCUUUAAAGGGUUGUGCACGCCUGAGCACUCUUUAAACAUCCAUCUUACUCCAUUGUGCAUCACUGCGUGGGCCCCUUUUACAAAGAGGGCUUGCGUUUUUUUAACAUAAAAUUUGAUAUUGUAUAGAAUAUUAUAUUUUGCUAUUAUAUGCAAUUAAUAUAACUUUCAACAACGGAUCUCUUGGCUCUCGCAUCGAUGAAGAACGCAGCGAAAUGCGAUACGUAAUGUGAAUUGCAGAAUUCAGUGAAUCAUCGAAUCUUUGAACGCAACUUGCGCCCCUUGGCAUUCCGAGGGGCACACCUGUUUGAGUGUCGUGAAAUUCUCAAAAACCUUUUUGUUUGAUUGUUUCUGGUCAGGAAAAAGGCUUUUUGGACUUGGAGGUUUAAUGCUUGUUUUUCUGUUGGAAGCAAGCUCCUCUGAAAUAAAUUAGUAGGGUCUGCUUUGCUGAUUCUUAAUGUAAUAAGAUGCUUCUACAUUUUGAAUUUUGCAUUGUCUCUUGGAUGCCUGCUUCUAACUGUCUUAUAGACAAUAAUGGUGCUUCUGGUUAUUGCUAUUUAGAUUAGCAGACAGCUAGGAUCCAUAUAAAAUAAAAAUCUUGACCUCAAAUCAGGUGAGACUACCUGCUGAACUUAAGCAUAUCAAUAAGCGGAGGA
RNAcentral lists this ribosomal RNA (756 nucleotides) under uncultured fungus. RNAcentral describes it as "eukaryotic LSU rRNA". The stretch from base 264 to 417 matches the Rfam family "5.8S ribosomal RNA". Lineage: Eukaryota; Fungi. The record is from RNAcentral.